AUACUCUGGUUUUUCUUUAGUUCUUAUAAAAGUUUCACUGUUUACUAAAGAUUUCCAUGGAGAGGAGCAGCUCUAAGUGUUAAACUAAUUUUUCAAAAAAUUUUUUUAACUAAAGAAAG
Molecule: small nuclear RNA, 119 nt
Organism: Nycticebus coucang (slow loris)
Lineage: Eukaryota; Metazoa; Chordata; Mammalia; Primates; Lorisidae
Product: U5 spliceosomal RNA
Exons: 1
Source: RefSeq, a predicted model, not a curated record